This 472-nucleotide ribosomal RNA is filed under the name uncultured organism. Its description in RNAcentral is "partial 16S ribosomal RNA". It matches the Rfam family "Bacterial small subunit ribosomal RNA", at positions 331 to 796 of the family's 1533-position model. The record is from RNAcentral.
GUACACUCCUGCGGGAGGCAGCAGUAGGGAAUCUUCCACAAUGGGUGCAAACCUGAUGGAGCAAUGCCGCGUGAGUGAAGAAGGUCUUCGGAUCGUAAAGCUCUGUUGUUAGAGAAGAACACGUGCUAGGUAACUACUAGCGCCUUGACGGUAUCUAACCAGAAAGUCACGGCUAACUACGUGCCAGCAGCCGCGGUAAUACGUAGGUGACAAGCGUUGUCCGGAUUUAUUGGGCGUAAAGGGAGCGCAGGCGGUCUGUUUAGUCUAAUGUGAAAGCCCACGGCUUAACCGUGGAACGGCAUUGGAAACUGACAGACUUGAAUGUAGAAGAGGAAAAUGGAAUUCCAAGUGUAGCGGUGGAAUGCGUAGAUAUUUGGAGGAACACCAGUGGCGAAGGCGAUUUUCUGGUCUAACAUUGACGCUGAGGCUCGAAAGCGUGGGGAGCGAACAGGAUUAGAUACCCUGGUAGUCC